GAUGAACGCUGGCGGCGUGCCUAAUACAUGCAAGUAGAACGCUGAAGGAAGGAGCUUGCUCUUUCCGGAUGAGUUGCGAACGGGUGAGUAACGCGUAGGUAACCUGCCUGGUAGCGGGGGAUAACUAUUGGAAACGAUAGCCAAUACCGCAUAACAGUAGAUGUUGCAUGAUAUCUACUUAAAAGGUGCAAUUGCACCACUACCAGAUGGACCUGCGUUGUAUUAGCUAGUUGGUGAGGUAACGGCUCACCAAGGCGACGAUACAUAGCCGACCUGAGAGGGUGAUCGGCCACACUGGGACUGAGACACGGCCCAGACUCCUACGGGAGGCAGCAGUAGGGAAUCUUCGGCAAUGGACGGAAGUCUGACCGAGCAACGCCGCGUGAGUGAAGAAGGUUUUCGGAUCGUAAAGCUCUGUUGUAAGAGAAGAACGAGUGUGAGAGUGGAAAGUUCACACUGUGACGGUAUCUUACCAGAAAGGGACGGCUAACUACGUG
This 497-nucleotide ribosomal RNA is filed under the name uncultured bacterium. RNAcentral's name for it is "partial 16S ribosomal RNA". It matches the Rfam family "Bacterial small subunit ribosomal RNA", at positions 28 to 507 of the family's 1533-position model. The record is from RNAcentral.